UACGGAAGGCAGCAGUGGGGAAUAUUGCACAAUGGGCGAAAGCCUGAUGCAGCUAUGCCGCGUGUAUGAAGAAGGCCUUAGGGUUGUAAAGUACUUUUCAUCGGGGAGGAAAAACAAAACUAAUAAUUUUAUUUCUUGACGUUACCCGAAAAAGAAGCACCGGCUAACUCCGUGCCAGCAGCCGCGGUAAUACGGAGGGUGCUAGCGUUAAUCAGAAUUACUGGGCGUAAAGAGCACGUAGGUGGUUUUUUAAGUCAGAUGUGAAAUCCCUGGGCUUAACCUAGGAACUGCAUUUUGAAACUGAAAUACUAGAGUAUCGUAGAGGGAGGUAGAAUUCUAGGUGUAGCGGUGAAAUGCGUAGAUAUCUGGAGGAAUACCUGUGGCGAAAGCGGCCUCCUAAACGAAUACUGACACUGAGGUGCGAAAGCGUGGGGAGCAAACAGGGAUUAGGAUACC
This 456-nucleotide ribosomal RNA is filed under the name uncultured bacterium. RNAcentral describes it as "bacterial SSU rRNA". It matches the Rfam family "Bacterial small subunit ribosomal RNA", at positions 340 to 786 of the family's 1533-position model. The record is from RNAcentral.